UACGUAGGGUGCGAGCGUUAAUCGGAAUUACUGGGCGUAAAGCGUGCGCAGGCGGUUCGUUAAGUCAGCUGUGAAAGCCCCGGGCUCAACCUGGGAAUUGCGGUUGAAACUGGCGAACUAGAAUCUGGCAGAGGGGGGUGGAAUUCCACGUGUAGCAGUGAAAUGCGUAGAGAUGUGGAGGAACACCGAUGGCGAAGACAGCCCCCUGGGCUGAGAUUGACGCUCAGGCACGAAAGCGUGGGGAGCAAACAGG
This 253-nucleotide ribosomal RNA is filed under the name uncultured bacterium. RNAcentral's name for it is "partial 16S ribosomal RNA". It matches the Rfam family "Bacterial small subunit ribosomal RNA", at positions 524 to 776 of the family's 1533-position model. The record is from RNAcentral.